RNAcentral lists this transfer-messenger RNA (356 nucleotides) under [Eubacterium] minutum. RNAcentral's name for it is "transfer-messenger RNA, SsrA". It matches the Rfam family "transfer-messenger RNA". From Rfam's summary of the family: Bacterial tmRNA, also known as 10Sa RNA or SsrA, is named for its dual tRNA and mRNA-like properties. Its role is to liberate the mRNA from a stalled ribosome. RNAcentral also lists the same sequence under 1 other name. Lineage: Bacteria; Bacillati; Bacillota; Clostridia; Peptostreptococcales; Anaerovoracaceae. The record is from RNAcentral.
GGGGAUGUAAAGGUUUCGACGGGGGUGCAGAAGAAGCAUAAGCGAGCCGUAGUCGCCCGGUCUACGUAAAAAAGGGCCGUUUAAAUAUAAACGCUAAAAAGAACAAUAACUUUGCACUUGCCGCGUAAGCGGCGUGCGGUCAGUUUCGGUUCACCCGCAGGCCGUUAACCUGAUCUCGAAUCAUGCGGGAAAACCUUGCGGAAGUUCCCGGAUCCGCAAGGGAACAACGGGAUAGUACACGUAUCAGUCUUCCGUCGGACGGUUACAAUGUACGAACUUUAAAUCGUCGGAUGCGCUCGGAGAAAAUGCUUUGGAAGUGCUUUCGGACAUGGGUUCGACUCCCAUCAUCUCCACCA